CCUACGGGAUGCACCAGUGGGGGAUAUUGGAUAAUGGGGGGAACCCUGAUCCAGCCAUGCCGCGUGUGUGAAGAAGGCCUUAUGGUUGUAAAGCACUUUAAGCGAGGAGGAGGCUACUAGUAUUAAUACUACUGGAUAGUGGACGUUACUCGCAGAAUAAGCACCGGCUAACUCUGUGCCAGCAGCCGCGGUAAUACAGAGGGUGCGUGCGUUAAUCGGAUUUACUGGGCGUGAAGCGUGCGUAGGCGGCCAUUUAAGUCAAAUGUGAAAUCCCCGAGCUCAACUUGGGAAUUGCAUUCGAUACUGGAUGGCUAGAGUAUGGGAGAGGAUGGUAGAGUUCCAGGUGUAGCGGUGAAAUGCGUAGAGAUCUGGAGGAAUACCGAUGGUGAAGGCAGCCAUCUUGCCUAAUACUGACGCUGAGGUACGAAAGCAUGGGGAGCAAACAGGAUUAGAUACCCGUGUAGUC
This 466-nucleotide ribosomal RNA is filed under the name uncultured bacterium. RNAcentral's name for it is "bacterial SSU rRNA". It matches the Rfam family "Bacterial small subunit ribosomal RNA", at positions 338 to 795 of the family's 1533-position model. The record is from RNAcentral.